UUAACGUCAUGGAUUAAAUCAGACACGUUUUUAACGUCAUGGAUUAAAUCAGACACGUUUUUAACGUCAUGGAUUAAAUCAGACACGUUUUUAACGUCAUGGAUUAAAUCAAACAAAUGUUGUCGGGAUGUCUUCUGUAUGUACACCUGGCUCUGGGUUUGUUGUUGUUUUUAUAAGGACGUUUACAGGUGGGAAAAAUAAACAACCACAGUGGCUUCGGCAGUGAGACUGAGGGUGUUGGAGUAGAGGUGUAGUCCAGCAUCUGAUGCUGGAUGUCGUGUUGUCCAGCUCACAUGAUGGUCAGCGGUGUUAGGGAUGAUGGACAUGACGCUUGUGUGUUGGACGUGUGCGCUGUUGGCGCUGACGGCUAGUUCAGCGGCAGCCCAAUCAUGUGGCGGCAUUUACACACUUAGUCUGGACAAACAGGAAGUUACAAUAUCUAG
Long non-coding RNA from Physella acuta, 443 nucleotides. RefSeq lists it as uncharacterized. NCBI's taxonomy places the organism in Eukaryota, Metazoa, Mollusca, Gastropoda, Physidae. The record is from RefSeq and is a predicted model, not a curated record.